GACGAACGCUGGCGGCGUGCUUAACACAUGCAAGUCGAGCGGUAAGGCCCUUUCGGGGUACGACGAGCGGCGAACGGGUAGGAGUAACAACGUGGGUGGACCUCGUCCCUCCAGCUCUGGGAGUAAGACCUCGGGAAACCGGGGUACCGUAAUAACUGGAGUAUGACUCCACUGACGCAUGUUGGUUGGGGUGGGAAAGACCUU
This 204-nucleotide ribosomal RNA is filed under the name uncultured bacterium. RNAcentral describes it as "partial 16S ribosomal RNA". The record is from RNAcentral.